This 253-nucleotide ribosomal RNA is filed under the name uncultured bacterium. RNAcentral describes it as "partial 16S ribosomal RNA". It matches the Rfam family "Bacterial small subunit ribosomal RNA", at positions 524 to 776 of the family's 1533-position model. The record is from RNAcentral.
CACGUAGGGCGCAAGCGUUGUCCGGAAUUAUUGGGCGUAAAGAGCUCGUAGGCGGUCUGUUGCGUCCGCUGUGAAAACUCGGGGCUUAACCCCGAGCCUGCAGUGGAUACGGGCAGACUAGAGGUAGGUAGGGGAGAAUGGAAUUCCCGGUGUAGCGGUGAAAUGCGCAGAUAUCGGGAGGAACACCGGUGGCGAAGGCGGUUCUCUGGGCCGGUAUUGACGCUGAGACGCGAAAGCGUGGGGAGCAAACAGG